Molecule: transfer RNA, 65 nt
Filed under: Parasesarma tripectinis
Lineage: Eukaryota; Metazoa; Arthropoda; Malacostraca; Decapoda; Sesarmidae
Description: tRNA-Gly
Rfam family: tRNA
About the family: Transfer RNA (tRNA) molecules are approximately 80 nucleotides in length. Their secondary structure includes four short double-helical elements and three loops (D, anti-codon, and T loops).
Source: RNAcentral
GUUUUUUUAGUAUAAUUAGUAUAUUUGACUUCCAAUCAAAAGGUCUAAAUAUUUUAGAAAAAAUA